UCCCCGCGGUCGCUGCUGCGGAGACCCCUUGGGGCUCUUCCCCUCUGUGGGCGGCCAUCGCUCCUACAGCGUCCUGCGCCUGGCCCUGUAGGCUGGACAGGAGCCGGCGGUUUUGUCACCAGGACGCAGAGCAGGAGGCCGGCUCGGAAGUGGGUUUGUGAUGGCUCAUAGUUUUCAACACCUACAAGGAGCUACCCAUGGAGGCUGAGGGACACAUCCCUGGCAUGGUGGACUUGCAGUCUAGCAGGGUGUAGAGACAAACGUGCAGGACAAUUAAUUGUGGUUGCAUGUGGUUCGUGCUCUCCUCAACAAAUGACUUCCCUUAUUGGAAACUUCAGCAUGAAAAGAAAUGCCUGACUCUUAGGUGAAACGUGAUCCUUCUGUGGCCAUAAACUUUAAACUCAAUUUAUUACGCUGGAGAGGUUUUUGGACAAACCUGUAAGGAAAUUAUAUAACACAAUCAUUGUUUUCUAAAGAACAGAUUACAGGGAAGGAAAAUUGAUCUUACAGCUGCUUUUGAUUUGGUAAAGCAACUAAGAAAAAAUAUCCAAGACUCUAAGAGCACAACAUGUUUAGCUGUAAAAGUGUUUUUCUGAAGAUCUCAUUCUCAUCUGCUAUCAUCUGCCUGUCCAAGGCCAAGGCAGUUAGAGAUCAUAUAUGUACUGUUUCCAAAGUGGAUCUGUAGACUCACUGGAAUGCUAAGACUAAAAAAAGGGAAUCUGACUAACUGUGGCUUUUCCAGCCCACCAGGAAAUGACAGAAGCAUACCCAGAUAAAUCAAAGAUGCUGUGAUUUGGUCAUCAUUUUGUCUGACGUGCAUCUGAACCUUGGUACUGAGUUCUCA
Long non-coding RNA from Suricata suricatta (meerkat), 844 nucleotides. RefSeq lists it as uncharacterized. The transcript has 4 exons. The record is from RefSeq and is a predicted model, not a curated record. Lineage: Eukaryota; Metazoa; Chordata; Mammalia; Carnivora; Herpestidae.